GACGAACGCUGGCGGCGUGCUUAACACAUGCAAGUCGAGCGGUAAGGCCCUUUCGGGGGUACACGAGCGGCGAACGGGUGAGUAACACGUGGGUGACCUGCCUUUAGCUCUGGGAUAAGCCUGGGAAACCGGGUCUAAUACCGGAUAUGACUCCGCGGCGCAUGUUGUGGGGUGGAAAGCCUUGUGCGGCUGGAGAUGGGCCCGCGGCCUAUCAGCUUGUUGGUGGGGUGAUGGCCUACCAAGGCGACGACGGGUAGCCGGCCUGAGAGGGCGACCGGCCACACUGGGACUGAGACACGGCCCAGACUCCUACGGGAGGCAGCAGUGGGGAAUCUUGCGCAAUGGGCGAAAGCCUGACGCAGCGACGCCGCGUGAGGGAUGACGGCCUCGGUUGUAACU
RNAcentral lists this ribosomal RNA (399 nucleotides) under uncultured bacterium. Its description in RNAcentral is "bacterial SSU rRNA". It matches the Rfam family "Bacterial small subunit ribosomal RNA", at positions 28 to 430 of the family's 1533-position model. The record is from RNAcentral.